RNAcentral lists this ribosomal RNA (262 nucleotides) under uncultured bacterium. RNAcentral's name for it is "partial 16S ribosomal RNA". It matches the Rfam family "Bacterial small subunit ribosomal RNA", at positions 9 to 254 of the family's 1533-position model. The record is from RNAcentral.
GAGUUUGAUCGUGGCUCAGGAUGAACGCUGGCGGCGUGCUUAACACAUGCAAGUCGAACGGGAAACCUUUUAUUGAAGCUUCGGCAGAUUUAGCUGGUUUCUAGUGGCGGACGGGUGAGUAACGCGUGGGUAACCUGCCUUAUACAGGGGGAUAACAACCAGAAAUGGUUGCUAAUACCGCAUAAGCGCACAGGACCGCAUGGUCCGGUGUGAAAAACUCCGGUGGUAUAAGAUGGACCCGCGUUGGAUUAGCUAGUUGGCA